GAGGGUGUAGCUCAGUGGUAGAGCACAGGCUUGGCAUGCACAGAGUCCUGAGUUCAAUCCCUAGUACCUCCA
Molecule: transfer RNA, 72 nt
Organism: Camelus ferus (Wild Bactrian camel)
Lineage: Eukaryota; Metazoa; Chordata; Mammalia; Artiodactyla; Camelidae
Rfam family: tRNA
About the family: Transfer RNA (tRNA) molecules are approximately 80 nucleotides in length. Their secondary structure includes four short double-helical elements and three loops (D, anti-codon, and T loops). Further hydrogen bonds mediate the characteristic L-shaped molecular structure. tRNAs have two regions of fundamental functional importance: the anti-codon, which is responsible for specific mRNA codon recognition, and the 3' end, to which the tRNAs corresponding amino acid is attached (by aminoacyl-tRNA synthetases). tRNAs cope with the degeneracy of the genetic code in two manners: having more than one tRNA (with a specific anti-codon) for a particular amino acid; and 'wobble' base-pairing, i.e. permitting non-standard base-pairing at the 3rd anti-codon position.
Source: Rfam